This 164-nucleotide small nuclear RNA is filed under the name Echinops telfairi (small Madagascar hedgehog). RNAcentral describes it as "U1 spliceosomal RNA (ENSETEG00000021557.1)". It matches the Rfam family "U1 spliceosomal RNA". Rfam says of the family: U1 is a small nuclear RNA (snRNA) component of the spliceosome (involved in pre-mRNA splicing). The record is from RNAcentral. Lineage: Eukaryota; Metazoa; Chordata; Mammalia; Afrosoricida; Tenrecidae.
AUACUUACCUGGCAGGGGAGAUACCAUGAUCAUGAAAGUGGUUUUCCAAGGGCAAGGCUUAUCCAUUGCACUCCAGAUGUGCUGACCCCUGUGAUUUCCCCAAAUUUGGACAACUGGACUGCAUAAUUUGUGGUAGUGGGGGACUACAUUUGCACUAUCCCCUG